MicroRNA precursor from Oryza rufipogon (brownbeard rice), 202 nucleotides. It matches the Rfam family "MIR812 microRNA precursor family". NCBI's taxonomy places the organism in Eukaryota, Viridiplantae, Streptophyta, Magnoliopsida, Poales, Poaceae. The record is from Rfam.
AAUAAGCGCAGGCAUGAGUUUUCAUAUCCAACUUUAAUAGUUCGUCUUAUUUGAAUUUUUUAUUAUUAGUAUUUUUAUUGUUAUUAGAUUAUAAAACAUGAAUAAUAAUUUAUGUGUGACUUAAUUUUUUUUAUUUUUUUUAAAAAAAUUAAAUAAGACGAAUGAUUAAAGUUGGACACGGAAACUCAUGGUUGCGCUUAUU